UACGUAGGGGGCUAGCGUUGUCCGGAAUCAUUGGGCGUAAAGCGCGCGUAGGCGGCCAGAUAAGUCCGGUGUGAAAGUCAAAGGCUCAACCUUUGAAUGCCGCUGGAAACUGUCUGGCUAGAGUCCGGAAGGGGCGAGUGGAACUCCUGGUGGAGCGGUGAAAUGCGCAGAUAUCAGGAAGAACACCAAUGGCGAAGGCAGCUCGCUAGGACGGUACUGACGCUGAGGCGCGAAAGCGUGGGGAGCAAACAGG
Molecule: ribosomal RNA, 253 nt
Filed under: uncultured bacterium
Lineage: Bacteria
Description: partial 16S ribosomal RNA
Rfam family: Bacterial small subunit ribosomal RNA
Source: RNAcentral